Molecule: ribosomal RNA, 579 nt
Filed under: uncultured fungus
Lineage: Eukaryota; Fungi
Description: eukaryotic LSU rRNA
Rfam family: Eukaryotic large subunit ribosomal RNA
Source: RNAcentral
UAUCAAUAAGCGGAGGAAAAGAAANCAACAGGGAUUGCCUCAGUAACGGCGAGUGAAGNGNCAAUAGCUCAAAUUUGAAAUCUGGCUUCUUCGGAGCCCGAGUUGUAAUUUGUAGAGGAUGCUUCGGGUUUGGCCCCGGCCUAAGUUCCUUGGAACAGGACGUCACAGAGGGUGAGANUCCCGUAUGUGGCUGGAGGUCUAUGCCCAUGUGAAGCUCCUUCGACGAGUCGAGUUGUUUGGGAAUGCAGCUCAAAAUGGGUGGUAAAUUUCAUCUAAAGCUAAAUACCGGCGGGAGACCGAUAGCGCACAAGUAGAGUGAUCGAAAGAUGAAAAGCACUUUGGAAAGAGAGUUAAAAAGUACGUGAAAUUGUUGAAAGGGAAGCGCUUGCGACCAGACUUGCCCGCAGUUGAUCAACUGGUGUUCUCACCGGUGCACUUUGCUGUGGUCAGGCCAGCAUCGGUUUGGGCGGCUGGAGAAAGGCCCUGGGAAUGUGACUCCCUUCGGGGAGUGUUAUAGCCCAGGGCGUCAUGCAGCCAGCCUGGACUGAGGACCGCGCUUCGGCUAGGAUGCUGGCGUAA